GGGUUGUGAGGUUAAGCGACUAAGCGUACACGGUGGAUGCCCUGGCAGUCAGAGGCGAUGAAGGACGUGCUAAUCUGCGAUAAGCGUCGGUAAGGUGAUAUGAACCGUUAUAACCGGCGAUUUCCGAAUGGGGAAACCCAGUGUGUUUCGACACACUAUCAUUAACUGAAUCCAUAGGUUAAUGAGGCGAACCGGGGGAACUGAAACAUCUAAGUACCCCGAGGAAAAGAAAUCAACCGAGAUUCCCCCAGUAGCGGCGAGCGAACGGGGAGCAGCCCAGAGCCUGAAUCAGUGUGUGUGUUAGUGGAAGCGUCUGGAAAGGCGCGCGAUACAGGGUGACAGCCCCGUACACAAAAAUGCACAUGCUGUGAGCUCGAUGAGUAGGGCGGGACACGUGGUAUCCUGUCUGAAUAUGGGGGGACCAUCCUCCAAGGCUAAAUACUCCUGACUGACCGAUAGUGAACCAGUACCGUGAGGGAAAGGCGAAAAGAACCCCGGCGAGGGGAGUGAAAAAGAACCUGAAACCGUGUACGUACAAGCAGUGGGAGCACGCUUAGGCGUGUGACUGCGUACCUUUUGUAUAAUGGGUCAGCGACUUAUAUUCUGUAGCAAGGUUAACCGAAUAGGGGAGCCGAAGGGAAACCGAGUCUUAACUGGGCGUUAAGUUGCAGGGUAUAGACCCGAAACCCGGUGAUCUAGCCAUGGGCAGGUUGAAGGUUGGGUAACACUAACUGGAGGACCGAACCGACUAAUGUUGAAAAAUUAGCGGAUGACUUGUGGCUGGGGGUGAAAGGCCAAUCAAACCGGGAGAUAGCUGGUUCUCCCCGAAAGCUAUUUAGGUAGCGCCUCGUGAACUCAUCUCCGGGGGUAGAGCACUGUUUCGGCAAGGGGGUCAUCCCGACUUACCAACCCGAUGCAAACUGCGAAUACCGGAGAAUGUUAUCACGGGAGACACACGGCGGGUGCUAACGUCCGUCGUGAAGAGGGAAACAACCCAGACCGCCAGCUAAGGUCCCAAAGUCAUGGUUAAGUGGGAAACGAUGUGGGAAGGCCCAGACAGCCAGGAUGUUGGCUUAGAAGCAGCCAUCAUUUAAAGAAAGCGUAAUAGCUCACUGGUCGAGUCGGCCUGCGCGGAAGAUGUAACGGGGCUAAACCAUGCACCGAAGCUGCGGCAGCGACACUGUGUGUUGUUGGGUAGGGGAGCGUUCUGUAAGCCUGUGAAGGUGUACUGUGAGGUAUGCUGGAGGUAUCAGAAGUGCGAAUGCUGACAUAAGUAACGAUAAAGCGGGUGAAAAGCCCGCUCGCCGGAAGACCAAGGGUUCCUGUCCAACGUUAAUCGGGGCAGGGUGAGUCGACCCCUAAGGCGAGGCCGAAAGGCGUAGUCGAUGGGAAACAGGUUAAUAUUCCUGUACUUGGUGUUACUGCGAAGGGGGGACGGAGAAGGCUAUGUUGGCCGGGCGACGGUUGUCCCGGUUUAAGCGUGUAGGCUGGUUUUCCAGGCAAAUCCGGAAAAUCAAGGCUGAGGCGUGAUGACGAGGCACUACGGUGCUGAAGCAACAAAUGCCCUGCUUCCAGGAAAAGCCUCUAAGCAUCAGGUAACAUCAAAUCGUACCCCAAACCGACACAGGUGGUCAGGUAGAGAAUACCAAGGCGCUUGAGAGAACUCGGGUGAAGGAACUAGGCAAAAUGGUGCCGUAACUUCGGGAGAAGGCACGCUGAUAUGUAGGUGAAGCGACUUGCUCGUGGAGCUGAAAUCAGUCGAAGAUACCAGCUGGCUGCAACUGUUUAUUAAAAACACAGCACUGUGCAAACACGAAAGUGGACGUAUACGGUGUGACGCCUGCCCGGUGCCGGAAGGUUAAUUGAUGGGGUUAGCGGUAACGCGAAGCUCUUGAUCGAAGCCCCGGUAAACGGCGGCCGUAACUAUAACGGUCCUAAGGUAGCGAAAUUCCUUGUCGGGUAAGUUCCGACCUGCACGAAUGGCGUAAUGAUGGCCAGGCUGUCUCCACCCGAGACUCAGUGAAAUUGAACUCGCUGUGAAGAUGCAGUGUACCCGCGGCAAGACGGAAAGACCCCGUGAACCUUUACUAUAGCUUGACACUGAACAUUGAGCCUUGAUGUGUAGGAUAGGUGGGAGGCUUUGAAGUGUGGACGCCAGUCUGCAUGGAGCCGACCUUGAAAUACCACCCUUUAAUGUUUGAUGUUCUAACGUGGACCCGUGAUCCGGGUUGCGGACAGUGUCUGGUGGGUAGUUUGACUGGGGCGGUCUCCUCCUAAAGAGUAACGGAGGAGCACGAAGGUUGGCUAAUCCUGGUCGGACAUCAGGAGGUUAGUGCAAUGGCAUAAGCCAGCUUGACUGCGAGCGUGACGGCGCGAGCAGGUGCGAAAGCAGGUCAUAGUGAUCCGGUGGUUCUGAAUGGAAGGGCCAUCGCUCAACGGAUAAAAGGUACUCCGGGGAUAACAGGCUGAUACCGCCCAAGAGUUCAUAUCGACGGCGGUGUUUGGCACCUCGAUGUCGGCUCAUCACAUCCUGGGGCUGAAGUAGGUCCCAAGGGUAUGGCUGUUCGCCAUUUAAAGUGGUACGCGAGCUGGGUUUAGAACGUCGUGAGACAGUUCGGUCCCUAUCUGCCGUGGGCGCUGGAGAACUGAGGGGGGCUGCUCCUAGUACGAGAGGACCGGAGUGGACGCAUCACUGGUGUUCGGGUUGUCAUGCCAAUGGCACUGCCCGGUAGCUAAAUGCGGAAGAGAUAAGUGCUGAAAGCAUCUAAGCACGAAACUUGCCCCGAGAUGAGUUCUCCCUGAC
RNAcentral lists this ribosomal RNA (2803 nucleotides) under Escherichia coli. RNAcentral's name for it is "bacterial LSU rRNA". It matches the Rfam family "Bacterial large subunit ribosomal RNA". The record is from RNAcentral. Lineage: Bacteria; Pseudomonadati; Pseudomonadota; Gammaproteobacteria; Enterobacterales; Enterobacteriaceae.